Molecule: ribosomal RNA, 771 nt
Filed under: uncultured bacterium
Lineage: Bacteria
Description: bacterial SSU rRNA
Rfam family: Bacterial small subunit ribosomal RNA
Source: RNAcentral
AAAGAGCUCGUAGGUGGUUUGUCGCGUUGUUCGUGAAAUCUCACGGCUUAACUGUGAGCGUGCGGGCGAUACGGGCAGACUUGAGUACUGCAGGGGAGACUGGAAUUCCUGGUGUAGCGGUGGAAUGCGCAGAUAUCAGGAGGAACACCGGUGGCGAAGGCGGGUCUCUGGGCAGUAACUGACGCUGAGGAGCGAAAGCGUGGGGAGCGAACAGGAUUAGAUACCCUGGUAGUCCACGCCGUAAACGGUGGGUACUAGGUGUGGGUUUCCUUCCUUGGGAUCCGUGCCGUAGCUAACGCAUUAAGUACCCCGCCUGGGGAGUACGGCCGCAAGGCUAAAACUCAAAGAAAUUGACGGGGGCCCGCACAAGCGGCGGAGCAUGUGGAUUAAUUCGAUGCAACGCGAAGAACCUUACCUGGGUUUGACAUGCACAGGACGCCGGCAGAGAUGUCGGUUCCCUUGUGGCCUGUGUGCAGGUGGUGCAUGGCUGUCGUCAGCUCGUGUCGUGAGAUGUUGGGUUAAGUCCCGCAACGAGCGCAACCCUUGUCUCAUGUUGCCAGCGGGUAAUGCCGGGGACUCGUGAGAGACUGCCGGGGUCAACUCGGAGGAAGGUGGGGAUGACGUCAAGUCAUCAUGCCCCUUAUGUCCAGGGCUUCACACAUGCUACAAUGGCCGGUACAAAGGGCUGCGAUGCCGCGAGGUUAAGCGAAUCCUUUUAAAGCCGGUCUCAGUUCGGAUCGGGGUCUGCAACUCGACCCCGUGAAGUCGGAG